RNAcentral lists this unclassified non-coding RNA (239 nucleotides) under plant metagenome. Its description in RNAcentral is "partial contains small subunit ribosomal RNA, internal transcribed spacer 1, and 5.8S ribosomal RNA". The record is from RNAcentral.
UUUCCGUUGGUGAACCAGCGGAAGGAUCAUUACAGAGAUCGUGCCCUUCGGGGUAGACCUCCCACCCUGUGUUAUUUACGUAUGUUGCUUUGGCGGGCCGCCUCCGGGCUCUCGGCUUCGGCCGAGGUGUGCCCGCCAGAGAACCCACAACCCUGUGUUUAGUGUCGUCUGAGUAUUAUCAAAUAAGUUAAAACUUUCAACAACGGAUCUCUUGGUUCUGGCAUCGAGAAGAACGCAGC